AGUGAACGCUGGCGGUAGGCCUAACACAUGCAAGUCGAACGGCAGCACAGUAAGAGCUUGCUCUUACGGGUGGCGAGUGGCGGACGGGUGAGGAAUACAUCGGAAUCUACUUUUUCGUGGGGGAUAACGUAGGGAAACUUACGCUAAUACCGCAUACGACCUACGGGUGAAAGCAGGGGAUCUUCGGACCUUGCGCGAUUGAAUGAGCCGAUGUCGGAUUAGCUAGUUGGCGGGGUAAAGGCCCACCAAGGCGACGAUCCGUAGCUGGUCUGAGAGGAUGAUCAGCCACACUGGAACUGAGACACGGUCCAGACUCCUACGGGAGGCAGCAGUGGGGAAUAUUGGACAAUGGGCGAAAGCCUGAUCCAGCCAUACCGCGUGGGUGAAGAAGGCCUUCGGGUUGUAAAGCCCUUUUGUUGGGAAAGAAAAGCAGCAGGUUAAUACCCCGCUGUUCUGACGGUACCCAAAGAAUAAGCACCGGCGAACUUUGU
RNAcentral lists this ribosomal RNA (491 nucleotides) under uncultured bacterium. RNAcentral describes it as "partial 16S ribosomal RNA". It matches the Rfam family "Bacterial small subunit ribosomal RNA", at positions 29 to 506 of the family's 1533-position model. The record is from RNAcentral.